CAGCGAGUCUGCCCGGGCAGGGCUCAUGGGGAAGCCAGAGGGCCCUGUACCCCAACUUCACAGUCAGUCGUGACUCUCAGCCAGUUUUAUUCUUCCUGCU
This is a long non-coding RNA of Gopherus evgoodei (Goodes thornscrub tortoise), 100 nucleotides long. RefSeq lists it as uncharacterized. The record is from RefSeq and is a predicted model, not a curated record. Lineage: Eukaryota; Metazoa; Chordata; Testudines; Testudinidae. The transcript is spliced from 3 exons.